RNAcentral lists this ribosomal RNA (101 nucleotides) under Acanthosepion pharaonis. The record is from RNAcentral. Lineage: Eukaryota; Metazoa; Mollusca; Cephalopoda; Sepiida; Sepiidae.
CAUGUUGAAACACCGGUUCCCAUAUAUCACCAAAGUUAAGCAACAUCAAGCCUGGUCAGUACUUAGAUAGGUGACCACUUGGGAACAUCAGGUGCUGUAAG